Long non-coding RNA from Maniola jurtina (meadow brown), 108 nucleotides. RefSeq lists it as uncharacterized. The transcript is spliced from 3 exons. Lineage: Eukaryota; Metazoa; Arthropoda; Insecta; Lepidoptera; Nymphalidae. The record is from RefSeq and is a predicted model, not a curated record.
CUAUUGUUGUUUAAAGUAGGUAUCUGAAAAGUAUAGUCCGUAUAAAAUAACUUCUCACGCGCCAUUUUAACUCUAUGGGUCAACUGUCCUGUCAAAAGCACGGUUCAC